AACGAACGCUGGCGGCAUGCCUAACACAUGCAAGUCGAACGAGCCCUUCGGGUCUAGUGGCGCACGGGUGCGUAACGCGUGGGAACCUGCCCUUAGGUUCGGAAUAACUCCCCGAAAGGGGUGCUAAUACCGGAUAAUGUCUUCGGACCAAAGAUUUAUCGCCUUUGGAUGGGCCCGCGUUGGAUUAGCUAGUUGGUAGGGUAAAAGCCUACCAAGGCGACGAUCCAUAGCUGGUCUGAGAGGAUGAUCAGCCACACUGGGACUGAGACACGGCCCAGACUCCUACGGGAGGCAGCAGUGGGGAAUAUUGGACAAUGGGCGAAAGCCUGAUGCAGCAAUGCCGCGUGAGUGAUGAAGGCCUUAGGGUUGUAAAGCUCUUUUACCCGGGAUGAUAAUGACAGUACCGGGAGAAGAAGCCCCGGCUAACUUCGUG
RNAcentral lists this ribosomal RNA (433 nucleotides) under uncultured bacterium. RNAcentral describes it as "partial 16S ribosomal RNA". It matches the Rfam family "Bacterial small subunit ribosomal RNA", at positions 29 to 507 of the family's 1533-position model. The record is from RNAcentral.